RNAcentral lists this long non-coding RNA (595 nucleotides) under Sus scrofa (pig). RNAcentral describes it as "lncRNA (ENSSSCG00070016815.1)". Lineage: Eukaryota; Metazoa; Chordata; Mammalia; Artiodactyla; Suidae. The record is from RNAcentral.
CAGUGAGUGGAAUGAGGUGGGGGAGUGAGAGGAGAGAGUAGGAGCAGAGAUGGGAAGCCUGGCCAGUGGAGGCAUCCCAGGCCUGCUCUGAGGAGGUGCCAUAGCCCUGAGAGACCGAGGUCAGUGACCUAACACAGCAGACAGCUGAGCUCACAGGCCUCCGCGACCCGGAGGAGGAACCUCAAGGAGGAACCGGACCCCUCCUCGCAGAGCUGCUACCGCCACACAGAAGGGGCCCAUUCUGCUUACAGGCCAUUCCUGCCACCAGUUUCCCUCCGCCCGACCUCCAUUGCCUGGGUGCUCAAUCCUCCGAAACUCUAUGCCGUCCCCUUUUUAGUCCUGCCUCCCAACGUUCUGAAAAGAUGAAGAAGGCAUCCUUGUCACCUCGAGGUUGGUGACCCCGGUAGAUCAAAUGGCAAGCAUGAGUGUCAGGGGUGAUUUGAGAAGAAAGAUGGAAGUUUGCAAAAUGAGAUUUUAUAGAUGGAAUCUCACCAUAAGAAAUUUGAGAGUUCAUAACUAUUCUGAAAAUAGUUGUUAUCUGCAUUAAGACAACUGUAUAAAUAAAGGAAUCAGUGAUGCAGCCGGUUGGAGAGUU